Molecule: ribosomal RNA, 563 nt
Filed under: uncultured Glomeromycotina
Lineage: Eukaryota; Fungi; Glomeromycota
Description: SSU rRNA
Rfam family: Eukaryotic small subunit ribosomal RNA
Source: RNAcentral
GGCCGCGGGAAUUCGAUUUUGGAGGGCAAGUCUGGUGCCAGCAGCCGCGGUAAUUCCAGCUCCAAUAGCGUAUAUUAAAGUUGUUGUGGUUAAAAAGCUCGUAGUUGAACCUUGGGCCUGGCUGGCCGGUCCGCCUCACCGCGUGUACUGGUCCGGCCGGGCCUUUCCCUCUGUGGAACCCCAUGCCCUUCACUGGGUGUGGCGGGGAAACAGGACUUUUACUGUGAAAAAAUUAGAGUGCUCCAGGCAGGCCUAUGCUCGAAUACAUUAGCAUGGAAUAAUAGAAUAGGACGUGUGGUUCUAUUUUGUUGGUUUCUAGGACCGCCGUAAUGAUUAAUAGGGACAGUCGGGGGCAUCAGUAUUCAAUUGUCAGAGGUGAAAUUCUUGGAUUUAUUGAAGACUAACUACUGCGAAAGCAUUUGCCAAGGAUGUUUUCAUUAAUCAGGAACGAAAGUUAGGGGAUCGAAGACGAUCAGAUACCGUCGUAGUCUUAACCAUAAACUAUGCCGACUAGGGAUCGGACGAUGUUAUAUUUUGACUCGUUCGGCGCCUUACGGGAAACA